Molecule: ribosomal RNA, 375 nt
Filed under: uncultured bacterium
Lineage: Bacteria
Description: bacterial SSU rRNA
Rfam family: Bacterial small subunit ribosomal RNA
Source: RNAcentral
GACGAACCGUGCAAACGUUGUUCGGAUUCACUGGGCUUAAAGGGCGCGUAGGCGGUCGAUCACGUCCGGGGUGAAAUCUUUCGGCUUAACCGGAAAAUAGCCUGGGAUACGGAUCGGCUGGAGGGAGGUAGGGGCAGGUGGAACUUCCGGUGGAGCGGUGAAAUGCGUAGAUAUCGGAAGGAACGCCGGUGGCGAAAGCGACCUGCUGGACCUCUUCUGACGCUGAGGCGCGAAAGCUAGGGGAGCGAACGGGAUUAGAUACCCCGGUAGUCCUAGCCCUAAACGAUGGGUACUAGGUAGUGGACCAGACAUGGGCUCACUGCCGAAGCAAAAGUAUUAAGUACCCCGCCUGGGGAGUAUGGUCGCAAGGCUGAA